GCCAGGUGUGGUGGCGCAUGCCUGUAAUCCUGGCUACUUGGGAGGCUGAGGCAGGAGAAUCACUUGAACCUGGGAGGUGGUGGUUGCAGUGAGCUGAGAUCGUGCCACUGCACUCCAGCCUGGGUGACAGAGUGAGACUCUGUCUCAA
This is an unclassified non-coding RNA of Pongo abelii (Sumatran orangutan), 148 nucleotides long. It matches the Rfam family "Metazoan signal recognition particle RNA". Rfam says of the family: The signal recognition particle (SRP) is a universally conserved ribonucleoprotein. It is involved in the co-translational targeting of proteins to membranes. The record is from Ensembl. NCBI's taxonomy places the organism in Eukaryota, Metazoa, Chordata, Mammalia, Primates, Hominidae.